RNAcentral lists this ribosomal RNA (254 nucleotides) under uncultured bacterium. RNAcentral's name for it is "partial 16S ribosomal RNA". It matches the Rfam family "Bacterial small subunit ribosomal RNA", at positions 99 to 354 of the family's 1533-position model. The record is from RNAcentral.
CGCACGGGUGCGUAACGCGUAUGCAACCUACCAUCAACAGGGGGAUAACACUGAGAAAUUGGUACUAAUACCCCAUAAUAUCUCAUGCGGCAUCGCAUGGGGUUGAAAACUCCGGUGGUUGAUGAUGGGCAUGCGUUGUAUUAGCUGGUUGGUGAGGUAACGGCUCACCAAGGCGACGAUACAUAGGGGGACUGAGAGGUUAACCCCCCACAUUGGUACUGAGACACGGUCCAAACUCCUACGGAAGGCAGCAG